UGGUCAUUAGCUCAAUUGGCAGAGCGGCGGUCUCCAAAGCCGUUGGUUGCAGGUUCGAAUCCUGCAUGAUCAG
RNAcentral lists this transfer RNA (73 nucleotides) under Corynebacterium glutamicum. RNAcentral's name for it is "tRNA-Trp". It matches the Rfam family "tRNA". Rfam says of the family: Transfer RNA (tRNA) molecules are approximately 80 nucleotides in length. RNAcentral also lists the same sequence under 2 other names. Lineage: Bacteria; Bacillati; Actinomycetota; Actinomycetes; Mycobacteriales; Corynebacteriaceae. The record is from RNAcentral.